UUUGGGCCACCCUUUCCUUCCUGAGCCACUCAGGAAGCUCUGUUCCCAGGGAGCAGGUCUGAGAAGCAGUGGUGGAGUUCCCUGAGAUACUGUCAUUGCUCAGCCAGCAACAGCGGCACAGGAUUAGAGCACAGCCAGCCAGCGACUCACCUCCAUUUGAAGCCAUCCCCUUAGGCUGGGUGCUGAUCACCGCUGACAGUUUCCACAAUGAGAAAAGUCAAGGGCAGGACCCAGAGAGUGACCUGCCUCAACAGAUUCUCCUGAGUUCAGGCUGGAGUGCAAUGGCGUGAUCUCGGCUCACCGCAACC
Molecule: long non-coding RNA, 308 nt
Organism: Cebus imitator (Panamanian white-faced capuchin)
Lineage: Eukaryota; Metazoa; Chordata; Mammalia; Primates; Cebidae
Exons: 3
Source: RefSeq, a predicted model, not a curated record